Molecule: ribosomal RNA, 465 nt
Filed under: uncultured bacterium
Lineage: Bacteria
Description: partial 16S ribosomal RNA
Rfam family: Bacterial small subunit ribosomal RNA
Source: RNAcentral
GACGAACGCUGGCGGCGUGCUUAACACAUGCAAGUCGUACGGUAAGGCCCUUUCGGGGGUACACGAGUGGCGAACGGGUGAGUAACACGUGAGUAACCUGCCCACAACUUUGGGAUAACGCUAGGAAACUGGUGCUAAUACUGGAUAUGUGCUCCUGCUGCAUGGUGGGGGUUGGAAAGCUCCGGCGGUUGUGGAUGGACUCGCGGCCUAUCAGCUUGUUGGUGGGGUAGUGGCCUACCAAGGCGGCGACGGGUAGCCGGCCUGAGAGGGUGACCGGCCACAUUGGGACUGAGAUACGGCCCAGACUCCUACGGGAGGCAGCAGUGGGGAAUAUUGCACAAUGGGCGCAAGCCUGAUGCAGCAACGCCGCGUGCGGGAUGACGGCCUUCGGGUUGUAAACCGCUUUCAGCGGGGACGAAGCUUUUUGUGACGGUACCUGCAGAAGAAGCACCGGCUAACUACGUG